This 3595-nucleotide ribosomal RNA is filed under the name Triticum aestivum (bread wheat). Its description in RNAcentral is "partial small subunit ribosomal RNA". Lineage: Eukaryota; Viridiplantae; Streptophyta; Magnoliopsida; Poales; Poaceae. The record is from RNAcentral.
CGGGGGCACACGACUAAUUAACCUCGGUUCUUUGGUAAUCUCGCAACUCCCCCCCACGCUCGGUCGUCGCCGGACUAACAAGGAGCCGGGAAGUAGUUGACCCCAACAACUUAAGAAAUCUGUCCCCGGACGGGUACCGGCUCCUUGUUAGACCGGGCCGCCGUCGCCUGCCCCACCACCACCGCUACUUCCCGGUGGGCCCCAGUCCGUUCAGGUGCCACCGAGCACGGUAGCGGAGGAGCGAGGCUACGGGCGAGGAACUGUUCCUGCUGCACGCCCUGACGUGGGACGUGGAGCUCGCGCGGCGGCGGCCGUCGCCGUAGGAGUUGCUGGAGAGGAUGCGGCACGAGACCUCCAACCGGCUCUCCGUCGAGGCCGAACCGGACAGGUAGCAGCAGCUGAGGGGUGACAGCGCGGCUCGGGUAGAGCUACGAGACCGGGCGAACGGACGACGUGAACAAUAGUAACACCUUACGGCCGGUCCGUUGGUUCUACUUACCGCGGCGUCCGACCUCCUCGCACCUCCGCAGAACCGGCUACUACCUACCGUAUUCGGGUUCUGCACCCGGCUGGAUCUUUCCGAACACCUUCCCAUGGUUCCUACGUGUUUGAUACUGUAACCCCUACACGGCUCCUAGCAACACCUAUGUUGCCUGGGCUGCCAGUCGUGGCUCCGUUAGCGACACUCCCAACACCUAAAAUAAUCCAGAGAAGAUCGGGCACGCGUAAUCUAUACAAUAUUAUCGACAACUGGUUGCAAAACCACUUCUGUUCCAAGUAUACAAAAGACAGUCGUCCUUUUAUCUCCUAUUCAAUUCAAAGUCUAAUCUUAAAGUACCGUCUUACAAUUUUACUACAUAUAACAUAACAUAUCCUAACCUUCACGUACACAAAUUGAAGAAGUAGGCGUCGCAACUACGAAUACGAGCGGGAGACAAAUACUCACAUCGGUAAGAGUCAUGGAGUUUGCACAACGUUUUACUGGGUGGAUACAUAAUACAAUGACUAAAACUUCGGAAAUGAACUAUGAACUAUGUAAAACGAAGGAAGGGGUAGUAAUUCCAAUGUUACGAUCUAGUAAUGUGUUGUGUAACAAACAAAAGGGGCAUCACUAUCGACGAAUACAGUGUCACACAUGAAUUGUACUUGGGACAUCUUCAGAGACAUUACGUAAUGAUCCUUAAUACUUAGAGAAUCCUUUAUCAAUUGGACAAUAACAGUUAGUUCCAAACGUCGGUAACUACAGUGAGUAGAAAUAAACCAGGACCAUUGGAUUUUUACUAGUAUAUAUGUACAUGUCAGUAUUGUAAAGUCACCGAUAAAAUCUUUGGUCUUAACUAUCGCUCUUUAUAGCUGUAAAAAGAGAAUGUUGAGUCUACAGGACUAAGACUUACACAUUGUAUGUGAAAAAACAAGACACCAAACGAUACCUAUUCUGCGACCGUGGAAGGUUAAAGGUAAAGUAAGAACCAUCGGACAGUUCACCCCCGUUCAUGUCAUCUUUGUUGGGAAAACCACUUACUUAUCUUUUAUAGUUGGACCUAACAGACUAACCUGGAUCUAACCAGUAAUUCAAAACUUGAACACCCACAUUCAAAAUUUUGAGCGGCCACGUUCAAAACAUUGAACGUAGACACGGUAGGUAGAGGCUAGACUACCGGGUUCAACUAGAAAAGAUAAGAACGUGGUAUUCCAGACUAAGAUAACAUCAGCAGGGGAAAUUCAACGUGACUGCUUUUGAACAAAGGUUGUCGUGGUACAUAGAAAAAUACGAGUUUCUCCGGAUCAGUAUUCUUCGUUCAAUUAUGAAAAAUAAAAGAAAGUUCUUUUGUUACUCUAGUUCAAUAAAACUUUAAGUUCUUAAAAUACUAAGCAACCCUCCGGUAUACAAUAAAUAAACAUGAAGUUUUCACAAAAAAGACGUCGUGCUCCGUCAGCACACAACCCUCUUGUCAUCAUACAUAUAACGUCAGAGUUCGUAGACUUGUUUAUGUUUCAACUCGUGAUCCCAUCGGUCAAUAUAGUUCACUCUCGUCACUAAGCCACGGGUCCGAGUAGAAGUAGGCGCAAAUUCUUUUUUAAGUUUUGUUUAUGAUCUUUUUAAGUUUUUUAAGGUUCGUUUAAAACGUACCUUCUAUUAAACCACGCACUCCAAGCAGGGUUUAAAGUCUAGUAAACCUAUAGACUCAUCGAGAGCCGUUUUUUCUGUUUAAACCCCAGACAUUAAAAAAAUGACAAGUACAUGACAAGGAUGGGUUAAACAGAAAGAAAGACUCUCGAUGAGUAUACAGGUUUACUAGACUUUAAACCUCGUGUCGAGUGCGUAGUUUAAUAGAUGGUACGUUUUUUCUUAACCUUAAAAAAAUAAAAAAACUUAUAAAACACUAAAAAAUUACAACUUUGUCAUAGUCAUGAAAAGAACAAACACUUCUGAUAGUGGUCUCGGGUCUGUAUUGAGGGAGCAAAACACAAAGUGAUCAGGGACACGAUCUACCGUAGAAGAUGAGAUUUUGGUCCACACGGAUAAUGAAACGUUCUCGAUCUCGGGAGGAGUCUCUACAAGUUCGUUCCCCGUAGGUAGGCCCAUUGUCCUUACAUACACACGUACACGAAGGAAGACUUUUCACGUUUGAAGACACGAUUGGAAAAACCGAACGUUAAGAAAAUCGGAAGUCAGUAUACUACACCUGAGACGUCAACGACAGUAAGUUCUACCGUCACGAUCUGACUUCUAACUAUGAGUUUUGGACUCUCUGUAAUCAAAGACGUCAUUAAGGUGCAAGGUCAAGUAGCCACUUGAGGACUAGGUCGGUUUGUUGCUACGCUAAGAUGUUCGUGCACACCCGUCCUUACAACUACCUGAACUGGACUUGGAAAUGGUCGUCAGAAACUAGUAGGCUGCCGUUGUACUUCGGUUUGAUGACUCGAGGUCCUCCGGUACUAGGUUUCGACACUUGGUCCGAGUUCCGGAGUCAAGUCAAAAAGACUUCAUAUCUCGUACACUCUUUUCUUAGUGCAUUGAGUACUACUAGUACAAGAGGUCAAACAAUAGCUUGGAUGUUUCACCAUGAUCAUCAACAAUUGACUCAAAGGACCCGUGUCUAAUAAGGAGCUACCGGUGGAGUAAGAGUUCCGAUAAAUUCGAUAGUCCAGGUACCCGAGUAUAACCAAUUCCCAGGUGUAUAAACAAAGUGCAACAAAACACCCGACCGUAAGGGAAAGUCGAGCUGUCUACACCACUAUAGGAUAAUAGGACUUGUUAAACCUUGGACUGUCCGACACACCCCCGUCUACCUACACUACGGAUGGUUGGAAUUAAAGAAAAUCAAUCACUACCGCGAAGUCUGAUUAAUGGCGACCUCCGUGUAUUUGGUACCUCUUGAAUGUACUCCUCGGCGUAUUACCCUUCCACAUAUAUGUGGACUACCCCCCUUAAUUAUUUUUUUUCAGUUAUUUCAAGUCUUCAUAUAAAACUUAUUUGAACUGAAAAAGAAGUGAUCAUAUAUAUAAAAGUGCUUAUUUUGGGGUCGCAACUGUUCAGUGCUCUUUAACCUAGAAAACGGGUGAAAAGAAGAAUGAAACCACUACCACCCCG